Molecule: ribosomal RNA, 303 nt
Filed under: uncultured bacterium
Lineage: Bacteria
Description: partial 16S ribosomal RNA
Rfam family: Bacterial small subunit ribosomal RNA
Source: RNAcentral
AGCAGUCGCCGCGGUAAUACGUAGGGUGCGAGCGUUAAUCGGAAUUACUGGGCGUAAAACGUGCGCAGGCGGUUAUAUAAGACAGAUGUGAAAUCCCCGGGCUCCACCUGGGACCUGCAUUUGUGACUGUAUAGCUAGAGUACGGUAGAGGGGGAUGGAAUUCCGCGUGUAGCAGUGAAAUGCGUAGAUAUGCGGAGGAACACCGAUGGCGAAGGCAAUCCCCUGGACCUGUACUGACGCUCAUGCACGAAAGCGUGGGGAGCAAACAGGAUUAGAUACCCCUGUAGUCCCUGUCUCUUAUAA